CUUAUUUUUGGACGCGGCUGUGCCCGCGACUUUCCGCCGGGCACCCCGAGGCCCCUCGCAAAGUCUCGCCCCAUUCCGAGUCCGGCGGACGAACUUCGCCCGCGCCCCCCACCAAGGCUAUAGCCCACCCGUUUUUUGGCCAUUUUUCCGCUGGCGGGUUUUGGCACCACGACCUUCGGGCUCUUAUUUUUGGGGGCGGAUUUGCCCGCAGCUUAUUUUUGGUGCCCCGAGGCCCCGCGCAAAGUCUCGCCCCAUUCCGAGUCCGGCGGAUGAUCUUCGCCCGCGCCCCCCACCAAGGCUAUAGCCCACCCGUUUUUUGGCCAUUUUUCCGCUGGGGGGUUUUGGCACCACGACCUUCGGGCGCUUAUUUUUGGGCACGGCUUUGCCCGCGGCUUAUUUUUGGCACCCCUAGCCCCUCGCAAAGUCUCGCCCCAUUCCGAGUCCGGCGGACGAACUUCGCCCGCGCCCCCCACCAAGGCUAUAGCCCACCCGGUUUUUGGCCAUUUUUCCGCUGGGGGGUUUUGGCACCACGACCUUUGGGCGCGGCUUUGCCCGCGGCCUAUUUUUGGCACCCCGAAGCCCCUCGCAAAGUCUCGCCCCAUUCCGAGUCCGGCGGACGAACUUCGCCCGCGCCCCCCACCAAUGCUAUAGCCCACCCGUUUUUUGGCCAUUUUUCCGCUGGGGGGUUUUGGCACCACGACCUUCGGGCGCUUAUUUUUGGGCGCGGCUUUGCCCGUGGCUUAUUUUUGGUGCCCUGAGGCCCCUCGCAAAGUCUCGUCCCAUUCCGAGUCCGGCGGACGAACUUCGCCCGCGCCCCCCACCAAGGCUAUAGCCCACCCGUUUUUUGGCCAUUUUUCCGCUGGGGGGUUUUGGCACCACGACCUUCGGGCGCUUAUUUCUGGACGCGGCUGUGCCCGCGACUUCCCGCGGGCACCCCGAGGCCCCUCGCAAAGUCUCGCCCCAUUCCGAGUCCGGCGGACGAACUUCGCCCGCGCCCCCCACCAAGGCUAUAGCCCACCCGUUUUUUGGCCAUUUUUCCGCUGGGGGGUUUUGGCACCACGACCUUCGGGCGCUUAUUUCUGGAUGCGGCUGUGCCCGCGACUUCCCGCGGGCACCCCGAGGCCCCUCGCAAAGUCCCGCCCCAUUCCAAGUCCGGCAAACGAACUUCGCCCGUGCCCCCCACCAAGGCUAUAGCCCACCCGUUUUUUGGCCAUUUUUCCGCUGGGGGGUUUUGGCACCACGACCUUCGGGCGCUUAUUUUUGGGCGCGGCUUUGCCCGCGGCUUAUUUUUGGCACCCCGAGGCCCCUCGCAAAGUCUCGCCCCAUUCCGAGUCCGGCGGACGAACUUCGCCCGCGCCCCCCACCAAGGCUGUAGCCCACCCGUUUUUUGGCCAUUUUUCCGCUGGGGGGUUUUGGCACCACGACCUUUGGGCGCGGCUUUGCCCGCGGCUUAUUUUUGGCACCCCGAAGCCCCUCGCAAAGUCUCGCCCCAUUCCGAGUCCGGCGGACGAACUUCGCCCGCACCCCCCACCAAUGCUAUAGCCCACCCGUUUUUUGGCCAUUUUUCCGCUGGGGGGUUUUGGCACCACGACCUUCGGGCGCUUAUUUUUGGGCGCGGCUUUGCCCCGUGGCUUAUUUUUGGUGCCCUGAGGCCCCUCGCAAAGUCUCGUCCCAUUCCGAGUCCGCGGACGAACUUCGCCCGCGCCCCCCACCAAGCUAUAGCCCACCCGUUUUUUGGCCAUUUUUCCGCUGGGGGGUUUGGCACAACGACCUUCGGGCGCUUAUUUCUGGACGCGGCAGUGCCCGCGACUUCCCGCGGGCACCCCGAGGCCCCUCGCAAAGUCUCGCCCCAUUCCGAGUCCGGCGGACGAACUUCGCCCGCGCCCCCCACCAAGGGUAUAGCCCACCCGUUUUUUGGCCAUUUUUCCGCUGGGGGGUUUUGGCACCACGACCUUCGGGCGCUUAUUUUUGGACGCGGCUAUGCCCGCGACUUCCCGCGGGCACCCUGAGGCCCCUCGCAAAGUCUCGCCCCAUUCCGAGUCCGGCGGACGAACUUCGCCCGCGCCCCCCACCAAGGCUAUAGCCCACCCGUUUUUUGGCCAUUUUUCCGCUGGGGGGUUUUGGCACCACGACCUUCGGGCGCUUAUAUUUGGACGCGGCUUUGCCCGCGGCUUAUUUUUGGCACCCCGAGGCCCCUCGCAAAGUCUCGCCCCAUUCCGAGUCCGGCGGACGAACUUCGCCCGCGCCCCCCACCAAGGCUAUAGCCCACCCGUUUUUUGGCCAUUUUUCCGCUAGGGGGUUUUGGCACCACGACCUUCGGGCGCUUAUUUUUGGACGCGGCUAUGCCCGCGACUUCCCGCGGGCACCCCGAGGCCCCUCGCAAAGUCUCGCCCCAUUCCGAGUCCGGCGGACGAACUUCGCCCGCGCCCCCCACCAAGGCUAUAGCCCACCCGUUUUUUGGCCAUUUUUCCGAUGGGGGGUUUUGGCACCACGACCUUCGGGCGCUUAUUUUUGGACGCGGCUGUGCCCGCGACUUCCCGCGGGCACCCCGAGGCCCCUCGCAAAGUCUCGCCCCAUUCCGAGUCCGGCGGACGAACUUCGCCCGCGCCCCCCACCAAGGCUAUAGCCCACCCGUUUUUUGGCCAUUUUUCCGCUGGGGGGUUUUGGCACCACGACCUUCGGGCGCUUAUUUUUGGGCGCGGCUUUGCCCGCGGCUUAUUUUUGGCGCCCCGAGGCCCCGCGCAAAGUCUCUCCCCAUUCCGAGUCCGGCGGACGAACUUCGCCCGCGCCCCCCACCAAGGCUAUAGCCCACCCGUUUUUUGGCCAUUUUUCCGCUGGGGGGUUUUGGCACCACGACCUUCGGGCGCCUAUUUUUGGGCGCGGCUUUGCCCGCGGCUUAUUUUUGGUGCCCCGAGGCACCUCGCAAAGUCUCGCCCCAUUCCGAGUCCGGCGGACGAACUUCGCCCGCGCCCCCCACCAAGGAUAUAGCCCACCCGUUUUUUGGCCAUUUUUCCGCUGGGGGGUUUUGGCACCACGACCUUCGGGUGCUUAUUUUUGGGCGCGGCUUUGCCCGCGGCUUAUUUUUGGCGCCCCGAGGCCCCGCGCAAAGUCUCGCCCCAUUCCGAGUCCGGCGGACGAUCUUCGCCCGCACCCCCCACCAAGGCUAUAGCCCACCCGUUUUUUGGCCAUUUUUCCGCUGGAGGGUUUUGGCACCACGACCUUCGGUCGCUUAUUUUUGGGCGCGGCUUUGCCCGCGGCUUAUUUUUGGUGCCCCGAGGCCCCUCGCAAAGUCUCGCCCCAUUCCGAGCCCGGCGGACGAACUUCGCCCGCGCCCCCCACCAAGGCUAUAGCCCACCCGUUUUUUGGCCAUUUUUCUGCUGGGGGGAUUUGGCCCCAUGACCUUUGGGCGCUUAUUUUUGGGCGCGGCUUUGCCCGCGGCUUAUUUCUGCCACCCCGAGGCCCCUCGCAAAGUCUCGCCCCAUUCCGAGUCCGGCGGACGAACUUCGCCCGCGCCCCCCACCAAGGCUAUAGCCCAAC
Molecule: long non-coding RNA, 3537 nt
Filed under: Citrus x clementina
Lineage: Eukaryota; Viridiplantae; Streptophyta; Magnoliopsida; Sapindales; Rutaceae
Description: Citrus clementina (C. clementina) long non-coding RNA (CCLE_LNC006318)
Source: RNAcentral